UACGUAGGGUGCAAGCGUUAAUCGGAAUUACUGGGCGUAAAGCGUGCGCAGGCGGUUUUGUAAGUCUGUCGUGAAAUCCCCGGGCUCAACCUGGGAAUUGCGAUGGAGACUGCAAGGCUAGAAUCUGGCAGAGGGGGGUAGAAUUCCACGUGUGAGCAGUGAAAUGCGUAGAGAUAGUGGGAGGAACACCGAUGGCGAAGGCAGCCCCCUGGGUCA
This 216-nucleotide ribosomal RNA is filed under the name uncultured bacterium. RNAcentral describes it as "partial 16S ribosomal RNA". It matches the Rfam family "Bacterial small subunit ribosomal RNA", at positions 524 to 736 of the family's 1533-position model. The record is from RNAcentral.